AAGGAUUCCCCUAGUAACUGCGAGUGAAGCGGGAUGAGCUCAAAUUUAAAAUCUGUCAGCUUUCGCUGUCCGAGUUGUAAUCUAGAGAAGCAUUUUCUGUGAUGGACCGUGUACAAGUUUCUUGGAAUAGAACUUCAUAGAGGGUGAGAAUCCCGUCCAUGACACGGACUACCGUUACUUUGUGAUAUGCUCUCAAAGAGUCGAGUUGUUUGGGAAUGCAGCUCAAAAUGGGUGGUAAGUUCCAUCUAAAGCUAAAUAUUGGCGAGAGACCGAUAGCGAACAAGUACCGUGAGGGAAAGAUGAAAAGCACUUUGGAAAGAGAGUUAAACAGUACGUGAAAUUGUUGAAAGGGAAACGCUUGAAGUCAGUCGCGUUGCUUAGGACUCAGCCUUGCUUUUGCUUGGUGUACUUCCUAUGUAACGGGUCAACAUCAAUUUUGGUUGGUGGAUAAAGAUUGAAGGAAUGUGGCAUCUUAGGAUGUGUUAUAGCCUUCUUUCGUAUACACUGGCUGGGAUUGAGGUCUGCAGCACGCCUUUAUGGCCGGGGUUCGCCCACGUAUCGUGCUUAGGAUGUUGGCAUAAUGGCUUUAAGCGACCCGUCUUGAAACACGGACCAAGGAGUCUAACAUGCUUGCGAGUAUUAGAGUGGAAAACUCUUGUGCGUAAUGAAAGUGAAAGUUGGGACUCUUCGCGGAGGCACCGACGCCCGGCUCUGAAGUUUACUGACGAUGCUGCGGUAGAGCACGUAUGUUGGGACCCGAAAGAUGGUGAACUAUGCCUGAAUAGGGUGAAGCCAGGGGAAACUCUGGUGGAGGCUCGUAGCGAUUCUGACGUGCAAAUCGAUCGUCAAAUUUGGG
Molecule: ribosomal RNA, 856 nt
Filed under: Xylodon sambuci
Lineage: Eukaryota; Fungi; Basidiomycota; Agaricomycetes; Hymenochaetales; Schizoporaceae
Description: partial large subunit ribosomal RNA
Rfam family: Eukaryotic large subunit ribosomal RNA
Source: RNAcentral